UAUCUGGUUGAUUCUGCCAGUAGUCAUAUGCUUGUCUCAAAGAUUAAGCCAUGCAUGUCUAAGUAUAAGCACUUUAUACUGUGAAACUGCGAAUGGCUCAUUAAAUCAGUUAUCGUUUAUUUGAUAGUACCUUACUACAUGGAUACCUGUGGUAAUUCUAGAGCUAAUACAUGCUACAAACCCCGACUUCAGGAAGGGGUGUAUUUAUUAGAUAAAAAACCAACGCCCUUCGGGGCUCCUUGGUGAAUCAUAAUAACUUAACGAAUCGCAUGGCCUUGCGCCGGCGAUGGUUCAUUCAAAUUUCUGCCCUAUCAACUUUCGAUGGUAGGAUAGUGGCCUACCAUGGUGGCAACGGGUAACGGGGAAUUAGGGUUCGAUUCCGGAGAGGGAGCCUGAGAAACGGCUACCACAUCCAAGGAAGGCAGCAGGCGCGCAAAUU
RNAcentral lists this non-coding RNA (439 nucleotides) under Erysiphe necator (grape powdery mildew). RNAcentral describes it as "Eukaryotic small subunit ribosomal RNA". It matches the Rfam family "Eukaryotic small subunit ribosomal RNA", at positions 1 to 442 of the family's 1831-position model. Lineage: Eukaryota; Fungi; Ascomycota; Leotiomycetes; Helotiales; Erysiphaceae. The record is from Rfam by way of RNAcentral.